Molecule: ribosomal RNA, 253 nt
Filed under: uncultured bacterium
Lineage: Bacteria
Description: partial 16S ribosomal RNA
Rfam family: Bacterial small subunit ribosomal RNA
Source: RNAcentral
UACGUAGGUGGCAAGCGUUAUCCGGAAUCAUUGGGCGUAAAGCGCGCGUAGGCGGCCUCGUAAGUCCGUUGUGAAAGUCAAAGGCUCAACCUUUGAAAGCCGAUGGAUACUGUGAGGCUAGAGUCCGGAAGAGGCGAGUGGAAUUCCUGGUGUAGCGGUGGAAUGCGCAGAUAUCAGGAGGAACACCAAUAGCGAAGGCAGCUCGCUGGGACGGUACUGACGCUAAGGCGCGAAAGCGUGGGGAGCGAACAGG